UUUAAAAAGAGCUGAUUGUGGCAGCAGUUGCUGUCAAGAAAAAGAUGCUAUUAUUGGCGAACUCAAGUUGGAAAUCAAAUUUCAAAAAGAUCUCAAUAAGACGUUAUCAAUGCAGACGACUGUUUUGACUGACGUGAGGAAGUUGUUAUUGAAGUUCAGUAGCCAGCAACUAAUAUCUACACCUAGCCAGCAACUAGCUCCACCUAGUACGUCUAACAGCGGCAACUUUUUAAAUUAUGCCAACCAGUCAAGCACAUCAGGCAAUUUGACGGGCCAUCCAAAAUUUGUUGGGGGAAACUGUGCUCAGAUGCCAAACUCAGAAAUGUCAGAUAAGAUUGGCAGCGACUCAUUGGGAGAUACGUUAUCCACGAUCGAGGAUGAAAGUGAUGGCCAACUUUACGAUC
Molecule: long non-coding RNA, 404 nt
Organism: Daphnia pulex (common water flea)
Lineage: Eukaryota; Metazoa; Arthropoda; Branchiopoda; Diplostraca; Daphniidae
Exons: 2
Source: RefSeq, a predicted model, not a curated record